GAUGAACGCUGGCGGCGUGCUUAACACAUGCAAGUCGAACGAGGAUUUAACGGAAUGCGAUUCGUCAAAUGAAAUUAAAUCCGAGUGGCGGACGGGUGAGUAACGCGUGGAUAACCUGCCUUAUACAGGGGGAUAACAGUUGGAAACGACUGCUAAUACCGCAUAAGCGCACGGUAUCGCAUGAUACAGUGUGAAAAACUCCGGUGGUAUAAGAUGGACCCGCGUCUGAUUAGCUAGUUGGUGAGGUAACGGCCCACCAAGGCGACGAUCAGUAGCCGGCCUGAGAGGGUGAACGGCCACAUUGGGACUGAGACACGGCCCAAACUCCUACGGGAGGCAGCAGUGGGGAAUAUUGCACAAUGGAGGAAACUCUGAUGCAGCGACGCCGCGUGAGCGAAGAAGUAUUUCGGUAUGUAAAGCUCUGUCAGCAGGGAAGAUAAUGACGGUACCUGACCAAGAAGCCCCGGCUAACUACGUG
Molecule: ribosomal RNA, 478 nt
Filed under: uncultured bacterium
Lineage: Bacteria
Description: bacterial SSU rRNA
Rfam family: Bacterial small subunit ribosomal RNA
Source: RNAcentral